UUUUCGUUCUGAAAUAUAAAAAAAAAAAAAAAAAAAAAAAAAAAAAAAAAAAAAAAAAAAAAAAAAAAAAAAAAAAAAAAAAAAAAAAAAAAAAAAAAAAAAAAAAAAAAAAAAAAAAAAUCCAGAUAUGAAUCGAUUGAUUACAACAAAACAUUUGCAAGUAAUCGGUCGAUUCUAAAAAAAAAAAAAAAAAAAAAAAAAAAAAAAAAAAAUA
Molecule: long non-coding RNA, 214 nt
Filed under: Brassica napus (rape)
Lineage: Eukaryota; Viridiplantae; Streptophyta; Magnoliopsida; Brassicales; Brassicaceae
Description: long non-coding RNA (BNAP_LNC026846)
Source: RNAcentral